UACGGGAAGGCAGCAGUGGGGAAUAUUGCACAAUGGGCGAAAGCCUGAUGCAGCUAUGCCGCGUGUAUGAAGAAGGCCUUAGGGUUGUAAAGUACUUUCAUCGGGGAGGAAAAACAAAACUAAUAAUUUUAUUUCUUGACGUUACCCGAAAAAGAAGCACCGGCUAACUCCGUGCCAGCAGCCGCGGUAAUACGGAGGGUGCUAGCGUUAAUCAGAAUUACUGGGCGUAAAGAGCACGUAGGUGGUUUUUUUAAAGUCAGAUGUGAAAUCCCUGGGCUUAACCUAGGAACUGCAUUUUGAAACUGAAAUACUAGAGUAUCGUAGAGGGAGGUAGAAUUCUAGGUGUAGCGGUGAAAUGCGUAGAUAUCUGGAGGAAUACCUGUGGCGAAAGCGGCCUCCUAAACGAAUACUGACACUGAGGGUGCGAAAGCGUGGGGAGCAAACAGGGAUUAGAUACC
RNAcentral lists this ribosomal RNA (458 nucleotides) under uncultured bacterium. RNAcentral describes it as "bacterial SSU rRNA". It matches the Rfam family "Bacterial small subunit ribosomal RNA", at positions 340 to 786 of the family's 1533-position model. The record is from RNAcentral.